UACAGAGGGGGCAAGCGUUGUUCGGAAUUACUGGGCGUAAAGGGCGCGUAGGCGGCCGCCUAAGUCAGACGUGAAAUCCCUCGGCUCAACCGGGGAACUGCGUCUGAUACUGGGUGGCUUGAAUUCGGGAGAGGGAUGCGGAAUUCCAGGUGUAGCGGUGAAAUGCGUAGAUAUCAAGAGGAACACCUGAGGUGAAGACGGGUUGCUGGGCUGAUACUGACGCUGAGGCGCGAAAGCUAGGGUAGCAAACGGG
This 253-nucleotide ribosomal RNA is filed under the name uncultured bacterium. RNAcentral describes it as "partial 16S ribosomal RNA". It matches the Rfam family "Bacterial small subunit ribosomal RNA", at positions 524 to 776 of the family's 1533-position model. The record is from RNAcentral.